This 63-nucleotide transfer RNA is filed under the name marine eukaryotic metagenome. It matches the Rfam family "tRNA", at positions 6 to 65 of the family's 71-position model. From Rfam's summary of the family: Transfer RNA (tRNA) molecules are approximately 80 nucleotides in length. Their secondary structure includes four short double-helical elements and three loops (D, anti-codon, and T loops). Further hydrogen bonds mediate the characteristic L-shaped molecular structure. tRNAs have two regions of fundamental functional importance: the anti-codon, which is responsible for specific mRNA codon recognition, and the 3' end, to which the tRNAs corresponding amino acid is attached (by aminoacyl-tRNA synthetases). tRNAs cope with the degeneracy of the genetic code in two manners: having more than one tRNA (with a specific anti-codon) for a particular amino acid; and 'wobble' base-pairing, i.e. permitting non-standard base-pairing at the 3rd anti-codon position. The record is from RNAcentral.
AGUAGCUCAACGGGUAGAGCGCAGCACUUUGAAUGCUGUUGUUGUGAGUUCGAAUCUCAUCUC